AGAGUUUGAUCCUGGCUCAGGAUGAACGCUAGCGGCAGGCCUAAUACAUGCAAGUCGAACGGUGAUAGCAAUAUCAUAGUGGCGCACGGGUGCGUAACACGUAUGCAACCUACCUUAUACUGAGGGAUAGCCUUUCGAAAGGGAGAUUAAUACCUCAUAACACAUUGAACUGGCAUCAGUUUAUUGUUAAAGAUUUAUUGGUAUAAGAUGGGCAUGCGUCCAAUUAGUUAGUUGGCGAGGUAACGGCUCACCAAGACGAUGAUUGGUAGGGGAACUGAGAGGUUAAUCCCCCACACUGGCACUGAGAUACGGGCCAGACUCCUACGGGAGGCAGCAGUAGGGAAUAUUGGGCAAUGGAGGCAACUCUGACCCAGCCAUGCCGCGUGCAGGAAGAAGGCGUUAUGCGUUGUAAACUGCUUUUAUAUAGGAAGAAAUAGACCUUGCGAGGUAAGUUGACGGUACUAUAUGAAUAAGCACCGGCUAACUCCGUGCCAGCAGCCGCGGUAAUACGGAGGGUGCAAGCGUUGUCCGGAUUUAUUGGGUUUAAAGGGUGCGUAGGCGGUUUAUUAAGUCAGUGGUGAAAGACGGUCGCUCAACGAUUGCAGUGCCAUUGAUACUGGUAGACUUGAGUGGGAUUGAGGU
RNAcentral lists this ribosomal RNA (642 nucleotides) under uncultured bacterium. Its description in RNAcentral is "bacterial SSU rRNA". It matches the Rfam family "Bacterial small subunit ribosomal RNA", at positions 8 to 658 of the family's 1533-position model. The record is from RNAcentral.